CUUUGUUGUGGGGGCCUGUCCUGGGCACUGUAGGUUUAGCAGCACCCCUGGCUUUACCCUCCAGAUGCCGGUAGCAGCACCCUUCCCUCAGGUAUGAAAGCCAACGAUGUCUCCACACAUUACCAAGUGUGUACCCUGAUUGAGAACCACUGAUGUGAGCUCUACCGUGUGCCAGCUUUGAGCUGGACUCCAUUCCCGCCUCCUGUUCCCGCAGGCAGAGCUGGCUCUGCAAACACCUGGAGCAGCUACAGCCUCCGCUUGGCGUCCCGAUGCUCUCCACCAGCGGCCCCGUACAUCACCAGGCAGUAUAGGAAGGUCAAAGCUCCGGCUGCAGCCCAGUUCCAGGGACCAUUCUUCAAAGAGUAGACACUCUGGCUGCUCCCUGACAGCACCUGAAGUGACCUGGAAUCAGUGAAGCCAAAGGGACUGGCAGUCUGCCCUGCAGGGAGUACUGACCUAUCCCAGUUGUGUGAGGCUGCGAGAGAAAGGGAGUGCAUGUGCGCGCGUGCAUGUGUGCGUGCGUGUGUGUUCACGUGUACUCGUGCGGGCGCGUGAGUGGUCUUCAAACGAGGGUCCCGAACCCCGGGGCGGCAGGAAGGGGGCCGACUCCACGCUGUCCUUUGGGAUGAUACUUGGAUGCAGCUCUUGGGACCGUGUUCUGCAGCCCAGCCUUCCUGUUGGGGUGGGGCCUCUCCUACUAUGCAAUUUUUCAAGAGCUCCUUGACCCUGCUUUUUGCUUCUUGAGUUGUCUUUUGCCAUUACGGGGACUUUGGUUUGACACAGGGGUCAGCCUUAGGAAGGCCUUCAGGAGGAGGCCGAGUUCCCCUUCAGUACCACCCCUCUCUCCCCACCUUCCCUCUCCCGGCAACAUCUCUGGGAAUCAACAGCAUAUUGACACGUUGGAACCGAGCCUGAACAUGCCCCUCGGCCCCAGCACAUGGAAAACCCCCUUCCUUGCCUAAGGUGUCUGAGUUUCUGGCUCUUGAGUCAUUUCCAGACUUGAAAUUCUCAUCAGUCCAUUGCUCUUGAGUCUUUGCAGAGAACCUCAGAUCAGGUGCACCUGGGAGAAAGACUUUGUCCCCACUUACAGAUCUGUCUCCUCCCUUGGGAAGGGCAGGGAAUGGGGACGGUGUAUGGAGGGGAGGGAUCUCCUGCGCCCUUCAUUGCCGCACUUGGUGGGACCACGAACAUCUUUAGUGUCUGAGCUUCUCAAAUUAGCUGCAAUAGGAAAAAAACAAAUUGGGAAAUGAAAAAAAAAUGGGAAGAUUAAAAAGCACAGGGGGAAGAAGAGAUUUUGGAGGCCAUCCUGCCAGGGGCGGACGGGGCUGACUCCUGCUCUCUGGAGGACGGUCAGUCCAUGUCUCGGAGAAACGGGUGAGCUGAGCUUGGCGUUUGGACCCAGUUCAGUGAGGUUCUUGGGUUUUGUGCCUUUGGGGCAGACCCCAGACAAGGAUGUCUGAGACCACUUGGGCGCUGUUUUCUCAGCUCCAAUUUCAAUAGUGAGCUAUCAAACCCAGAGCGGAAGGAGGGAGCUCUGAUGAGCACGAUUUGUCACACGAUAAAGGGAUUUUUUUUUC
RNAcentral lists this long non-coding RNA (1577 nucleotides) under Pan troglodytes (chimpanzee). Its description in RNAcentral is "long non-coding RNA NONPTRT000101". Lineage: Eukaryota; Metazoa; Chordata; Mammalia; Primates; Hominidae. The record is from RNAcentral.